This 130-nucleotide small nucleolar RNA is filed under the name Castor canadensis (American beaver). RNAcentral's name for it is "Small nucleolar RNA SNORA44 (ENSCCNG00000021695.1)". It matches the Rfam family "Small nucleolar RNA SNORA44". Rfam says of the family: ACA44 is a member of the H/ACA class of snoRNA that guide the sites of modification of uridines to pseudouridines. The record is from Rfam by way of RNAcentral. Lineage: Eukaryota; Metazoa; Chordata; Mammalia; Rodentia; Castoridae.
UAGCAUGUUUCCAAGGGCUAUGGAUGCUUGUGGCCAUGGGAUCUCCCAACUAUGCAAAAGCAAUCUGGAAAGUGUUUGACAGCUCAGGUCACCACAGUACCUUCAGUUGCCACUUAUCUUUCCUAUAAUA